RNAcentral lists this ribosomal RNA (276 nucleotides) under Triticum aestivum (bread wheat). Its description in RNAcentral is "partial small subunit ribosomal RNA". The record is from RNAcentral. Lineage: Eukaryota; Viridiplantae; Streptophyta; Magnoliopsida; Poales; Poaceae.
UUGCUCACACUUUCCAUAUGAAGCUGGGAGCGUUUGCCAGUUGGACGCCCGAAGACCGUGAAGUACGAUGAUUGGGACGACAAAGGCGACCCACUACGGCGACCCACUUGGGCUUACAAGUGGGAUGUGUUAAAUGAGACGACAUAUGAUCCCUCGGUCAUGUACAAGUUGUACCAGAGCGAGCUUGACGCGAUCACGCCUGAGCAGGUGAAUCGAGAGCCUGUAAGCGAUGAACUCACAUUGUUGGACGCUCAUUGUUGGAAGUGUGGAUAUUGA